GGCCAGACUCCUACGGGAGGCAGCAGUAAGGAAUAUUGCGCAAUGGGCGAAAGCCUGACGCAGCGACGCCGCGUGAGGGAAGAAGGCCUUCGGGUUGUAAACCUCUUUCAGGAGGGACGAAGCUACUCGGGUGAAUAGCCCAGAGGGUGACGGUACCUCCAGAAGAAGCCCCGGCUAACUACGUGCCAGCAGCCGCGGUA
RNAcentral lists this ribosomal RNA (200 nucleotides) under uncultured bacterium. RNAcentral describes it as "partial 16S ribosomal RNA". It matches the Rfam family "Bacterial small subunit ribosomal RNA", at positions 329 to 522 of the family's 1533-position model. The record is from RNAcentral.